GGGGGCGUCAAGGUUUCGACUGUAAGUUGAAAGCCGUGCUCGCAUGUCGAGGAUGACUCGUUGGCCUCGUUAAAAAUCGAGUUCAAAGAAUAACUGCUAAUACCAGUAGACAAACAGCUUGCUUGGAGAGAUCCGAGUUGGCUCUUGCGUUCUAAUUAACGCAACGUCUUUUUCCUGACGCCCGCUAGGGAAAAAAGGCGACGACAGCGGACUGGCUGAUCUGCGGAGCGACCGCGUAGACAGUAAGAAAAUUUUGUGGACGCUUGGGAAGCAGUAGCGCGGCGGUUCGCAGCAUGCUUCCGACAAUAAAAACCGCAUAAACAUGUAGAAGGUAAGGUGGACGCUUUUCAGGACACGGGUUCGAUUCCCGUCGCCUCCACUG
This 382-nucleotide transfer-messenger RNA is filed under the name Chthoniobacterales. RNAcentral describes it as "PSRL01 sp003176035 Standard tmRNA". It matches the Rfam family "transfer-messenger RNA". From Rfam's summary of the family: Bacterial tmRNA, also known as 10Sa RNA or SsrA, is named for its dual tRNA and mRNA-like properties. Its role is to liberate the mRNA from a stalled ribosome. RNAcentral also lists the same sequence under 1 other name. Lineage: Bacteria; Pseudomonadati; Verrucomicrobiota; Spartobacteria. The record is from RNAcentral.